GCUUGCUUUCUUUGCUGGCGACCGGCGCACGGGUGAGUAACACGUAUCCAACCUACCCUUUACUCGGGGAUAGUCUUUCGAAAGAAAGAUUAAUACCCGAUAGCAUAAUGAUUCCGCAUGGUUUCAUUAUUAAAGGAUUCCGGUAAAGGAUGGGGAUGCGUUCCAUUAGGUUGUUGGUGGGGUAACGGCCCACCAAGCCUUCGAUGGAUAGGGGUUCUGAGAGGAAGGCCCCCCACAUUGGAACUGAGACACGGUCCAAACUCCUACGGGAGGCAGCAUG
This 280-nucleotide ribosomal RNA is filed under the name uncultured bacterium. Its description in RNAcentral is "partial 16S ribosomal RNA". It matches the Rfam family "Bacterial small subunit ribosomal RNA", at positions 78 to 353 of the family's 1533-position model. The record is from RNAcentral.